UGGAUUAGUGGCGAACGGGUGAGUAACACGUGGGCAAUCUGCCCUUCACUCUGGGACAAGCCCUGGAAACGGGGUCUAAUACCGGAUAACACCUGCCUGGGCAUCUGGGUGGGUUAAAAGCUCCGGCGGUGAAGGAUGAGCCCGCGGCCUAUCAGCUUGUUGGUGAGGUAGUGGCUCACCAAGGCGACGACGGGUAGCCGGCCUGAGAGGGCGACCGGCCACACUGGGACUGAGACACGGCCCAGACUCCUACGGGAGGCAGCAGUGGGGAAUAUUGCACAAUGGGCGAAAGCCUGAUGCAGCGACGCCGCGUGAGGGAUGACGGCCUUCGGGUUGUAAACCUCUUUCAGCAGGGAAGAAGCGAAAGUGACGGUACCUGCAGAAGAAGCGCCGGCUAACUACGUGCCAGCAGCCGCGGUAAUACGUAGGGCGCAAGCGUUGUCCGGAAUUAUUGGGCGUAAAGAGCUCGUAGGCGGCUUGUCACGUCGGGUGUGAAAGCCCGGGGCUUAACCCCGGGUCUGCAUUCGAUACGGGCUAGCUAGAGUGUGGUAGGGGAGAUCGGAAUUCCUGGUGUAGCGGUGAAAUGCGCAGAUAUCAGGAGGAACACCGGUGGCGAAGGCGGAUCUCUGGGCCAUUACUGACGCUGAGGAGCGAAAGCGUGGGGAGCGAACAGGAUUAGAUACCCU
RNAcentral lists this ribosomal RNA (686 nucleotides) under Streptomyces olivochromogenes. Its description in RNAcentral is "bacterial SSU rRNA". It matches the Rfam family "Bacterial small subunit ribosomal RNA", at positions 88 to 788 of the family's 1533-position model. The record is from RNAcentral. Lineage: Bacteria; Bacillati; Actinomycetota; Actinomycetes; Kitasatosporales; Streptomycetaceae.